CAGUAGCCGCGGUAGUACGGAGGGGGCUAGCGUUGUUCGGAAUUACUGGGCGUAAAGCGCACGUAGGCGGCGAUUUAAGUCAGAGGUGAAAGCCUGGAGCUCAACUCCAGAACUGCCUUUGAGACUGGAUUGCUUGAAUCACGGAGAGGUGGGUGGAAUUCCGAGUGUAGAGGUGAAAUUCGUAGAUAUUCGGAAGAACACCAGUGGCGAAGGCGGCCCACUGGACGUGUAUUGACGCUGAGGUGCGAAAGCGUGGGGAGCAAACAGGAUUAGAUACCCCCGUAGUCCCUGUCUCUUAUAC
RNAcentral lists this ribosomal RNA (301 nucleotides) under uncultured bacterium. Its description in RNAcentral is "partial 16S ribosomal RNA". It matches the Rfam family "Bacterial small subunit ribosomal RNA", at positions 509 to 807 of the family's 1533-position model. The record is from RNAcentral.